Non-coding RNA from Nicotiana tabacum (common tobacco), 538 nucleotides. The record is from RefSeq and is a predicted model, not a curated record. NCBI's taxonomy places the organism in Eukaryota, Viridiplantae, Streptophyta, Magnoliopsida, Solanales, Solanaceae.
AUGUGCAUAGUGUGGUUCAUUAUCUCAUCAUACUAGUGUGAAAUUUAUUGUGCUUUUCUCUUCAUAGAUGAACUGAUAUAGUGUAGCUGGACUUGUUGAUUGAGAGACCUUUUGUAAGCUGAAAAAAUGGUGGGCUGGCAACGGCAUCUUCAGUGCAUGCUUCAUCAAGCUGGGAAGAGAUGUCAACAAAGUCGAACUGUUCCUUUGAAUUCAUUUUAUCACUCAAAGUCAUCUCUAGUACUUGGUGAGGCACCUUACUUACCAAGCUUGCGGAAUACAGUUUCAUCUGGCAUCUCAAGGCCGUUAUACCAGUAUCUACAGCAUUUGGGGAUCUCUAGUUCAAGGACCUAACAUGCAGACUCAACCACACCAAUUUCUUCUCCAUUAACACCGCUUCUAACAUCAAAUACUGGAAAUAAAGAAGCUGAGAAAGCAACUUCUAAACCUUCAACAGUUCAAGCAGUUUUGAAGGGGAUAAAACAGAGCCCAAAGAAGAUCAAUUUGGUUGCAGCAUUAGUUCGUGGGAUGCCUGUGUUGA